GACAGAGGCCUCAAGCGUUUAGGCGGAAUCACUGGGCUUAAAGCGUGUGUAGGCGGGUCGUUAAGUACCUUGUGAAAUCCCACGGCUCACCCGUGGAACUGCUGGGUAUACUGGCGAUCUUGGGCCAACUAGGGGCAACUGGAACAAGCGGUGGAGCGGUGAAAUGCGUAGAUAUCGCUUGGAACGCCAAAGGUGAAAACAGGUUGUUGGGGUUGUGCCGACGCUGAGACACGAAAGCGUGGGGAGCAAACAGG
Molecule: ribosomal RNA, 254 nt
Filed under: uncultured bacterium
Lineage: Bacteria
Description: partial 16S ribosomal RNA
Rfam family: Bacterial small subunit ribosomal RNA
Source: RNAcentral